UUCGGGAACUGUAAGACAGGUGCUGCAUGGCUGUCGUCAGCUCGUGUUGUGAAAUGUUGGGUUAAGUCCCGCAACGAGCACAACCCUUAUCCUUAGUUGCCAGCGAGUAAUGUCGGGAACUCUAGGGAGACUGCCGGUGAUAAACCGGAGGAAGGUGGGGACGACGUCAAGUCAUCAUGGCCCUUACGAGUAGGGCUACACACGUGCUACAAUGGUAUGUACAGAGGGAGGCAAGCUGGCGACAGUGAGCGGAUCUCUUAAAGCAUAUCGUAGUCCGGAUUGGAGUCUGCAACUCGACCCCAUGAAGUCGGAAUCGCUAGUAAUCGCAAAUCAGAAUGUUGCGGUGAAUACGUUCCCGGGCCUU
RNAcentral lists this ribosomal RNA (364 nucleotides) under uncultured Alishewanella sp. Its description in RNAcentral is "bacterial SSU rRNA". It matches the Rfam family "Bacterial small subunit ribosomal RNA", at positions 1019 to 1382 of the family's 1533-position model. The record is from RNAcentral. Lineage: Bacteria; Pseudomonadati; Pseudomonadota; Gammaproteobacteria; Alteromonadales; Alteromonadaceae.